CCUACGGGCGGCAGCAGUGGGGAAUAUUGCGCAAUGGGCGAAAGCCUGACGCAGCGACGCCGCGUGAGGGAUGAAGGUCUUCGGAUCGUAAACCUCUGUCAGCAGGGAAGAACGGUCACUGUGCUAAUCAGCAGUGAAUUGACGGUACCUGCAAAGGAAGCACCGGCUAACUCCGUGCCAGCAGCCGCGGUAAUACGGAGGGUGCGAGCGUUAAUCGGAAUUACUGGGCGUAAAGCGCUCGUAGGCGGUAUGUCAAGUCAAGGGUGAAAUCCCCGGGCUCAACGUGGGAACUGCCUUUGAAACUGGCAGACUGGAGUGUGUGAGAGGAUAGUGGAAUUCGAGGUGUAGGAGUGAAAUCCGUAGAUAUCUGGAGGAACAUCAGUGGCGAAGGCGACUAUCUGGCACAUAACUGACGCUGAGGAGCGAAAGCGUGGGUAGCAAACAGGAUUAGAUACCCUUGUAGUC
RNAcentral lists this ribosomal RNA (465 nucleotides) under uncultured bacterium. RNAcentral's name for it is "partial 16S ribosomal RNA". It matches the Rfam family "Bacterial small subunit ribosomal RNA", at positions 338 to 795 of the family's 1533-position model. The record is from RNAcentral.